AGGUUGGACUGGGAGGAAGAAAAAUGUGUGUGUGCCUCAUAAAAUACCGAGAACAAUUCAACUGUGUUUGAACUGACCUGGCUAGAACUCUGAGAAACUUAUGAUAGGACAGGGAGUACUUCUCAAGGUUUCCCUAAUCUCGGGGGAAUGGAACUGUUGGCUGGGUAGUGAUACACAGUGGUGUUGGAGGAAAUUAAUAAGGUCAGUAAUCUUUAUUCUUGAUUAAGGGGGAAUGACUUAAAUUAUCAUAGGGUGGAUUUAAGUUGUUCUCAGAUUGAAAGUCAACUCUACAAAUAGGCUAUGCUUGGAGCGACAUUUUAGUUCAAAGUCCUAUAGGAACAUCGAUUUACUGUAUAUUCCUACAGUGAUCACUGUAUACGGGUGAAAACUAGUGUCAGAUCGAGCGAUGAAUGGACGGGGGGGUCUUUCCCGGUUUUUAGUAGUCUGUGUUCUUGAUAGUGAAAAGUGAUUGUGUGGUUGAGGUUCCGGGGAAGAAAUGGAACAGGUGAUUUUAUACCAUCAGCUUUCAAGAAUAGACACUGCAGGAUUGGUUUUGGGACUGGCCUCGGUCCAUUUGUUUUCGGUCAACUUUACAAGUAGGCUAUGUUUGGAGCGACAUAGUUUAAGUCAAAAGACCUAUAGGAACAGUGAUUACUGUAUACGGGGGAGUUAAAUGUCAGAUUGAACAAUGUAUCCAGCGGAAAGACAGUACAAGUGACCCCAUAGAUAUAUAGUUCUUGAUAAUAGACACUGCAGGUUGGUGGUCUUUAUUUAGAUUAUGGGGAACAAUUGAGUUGCUUUUCCGUUGGUCAUUUUCAAUCAACUCUACAGAUUAAGCUAUAUUUGGGGCGACAUUUGAGUUCAAAGUCCUAUAGGAACAGUGAUUACUGUAUAUUCCUACAGUGAUCGCUGUAUACGGGUGAAAACUAGUGUCAGAUUGAACGAGGAGUGGACGGAGACUCUUGAGACUCUGUCUAUUUGUCCUCGGUCAACCCUACAAGUAGGCUGAUUUGGAGCUACAAUUUUAGCAGAAGUCCUAUAGGAACAGUAAUGUAUUGUAUACGGGUGAGAUUUAAUGUCAGACUUUAGUCGAUGAGGAUUCCAAUAAAGAGAUAUUAACCAUAAGGUGUUAAAUAUUGGAAUUACUAGGAGUGAGUAGAUAAGGAUUCCAAUAAAGAUAAAUUAACAUAAAGUGUUGAAGAUUGGAAUUAUUAGGAGGGGCAGGAAUUUAUUAUAAUGGGUAGUAAUCCCUCUAAACUGCUUUCUGAAGAGACGGAAGAUUACCGUUGUAUGAAACAAAAAGAUCGAAGGAAUGUAGAUUUCUGUCCUAAAUGGGAAAAAAGGUAUGGUUUUGACGGACGCCUAGAUGUCGAAAAGUUAGAAUCCCUUAUAAAACAGAUACAAAGGGAGCGAGAUUAAUGAGAAUCCUAAACUGAGGGAAAACGUUGUGCGUCUAAAUUGGGGCUAUUUUCUGUUGUCUAGAUGUCGGAGUAACAAAUACAGAUAACUGUAAAAAUGGUGAGCGCAGCAGUUUUACCAACGGCAAUCCACGGUUCGGUUCCCAGCCGAGGCGGUUAACUAAAACUGAUAUUAGAGUGAAAUUCACCUAUUUGCAUGUUUUGCCGGAAAAAUAUGGUCGCCAGUGUUUGUCUAAAUAUAACUGAACGUUUAUUAUGUGUUUUAGAUUGAAUAAAAAUAAAUAAAAAAGAAGGCAUUAAAAAUAAUGGCGAGACAAUUGAGGUAAUACGCUAUUUUGCCCAAAAUGAUCUGCGGGAAUAAUGUAUUGAGAUGGGAGUCGUAUUUAAAUAAAUGUAUCAUAGAAGAGAAAGUCACCUAAAGUUAAAUUUAGGGAAUAACGGAGAGAUACGAUACAAUUUCAUGCUAUAGCUAUUUAUGAAUCGACUGACAUAUGAUAAAUUUUAGCACAAAACAUGGUACGUUUAAAUGUUAGGGUAUGGUAAGUUGAGAAGUUGGGUUGGUUUUACUUUGAUGAUUAGAAUUUAAAACUGAACGCAAUCUGAAUAGGGAAUAUAUAUUUUACAGAGGCAGGCAGAUGUGUGAUGACGUUUCACGUUGAACAACAUCGUUCCUCAAAUUUAAACAGAGAAAAGGGGUUGUGGCAUUUAGAGGGAAAAUGCAUGCAUUAUAGCUUAGAGUUACUUUUCAAAAGCGGCCAGAAGUUCCAAAUACAUUUCUUUUAAAAGGAGAAGUAUCGUAAAGAUAGUCUGGAAAGAUGCUACAGUUUGCAACAGAAGUGCUAGGCACUCAAUGGGCUAUAUGGUGCAACACUUUGGACUAUAAAAUAGAUUUUAUGCACUACAGGUGAACUACAGGUGAAGUCACUCAAUCCAGUCCCAGAGGCUUGUUGGGGGGACCAUACCAAGGACUCCUGGUGACAGCUAGCUGAAAGAGCUACCCGGAUUCAUAUCGCACUGCGGGAGGGUAAGACACAUUGACACUGUCAAACAAUAACAGAAUUCGAGAGGAGAACUGGAAUUAACAGAAUUCUGGGGGCCAUCUCUCGAAUGAAAAAUACCUUACCUGUCCUUUCCUCACUGUUGUUGUUCAUAGAAGUGAAGAUGUGUCUGGCUCUUGCUAAGUGAUGUGUUCUCGGGGAGAGGGUGGGGCUUCACAUGGAAGCUGUUCGUCUGAGCUGUUUUAUCGUGGGUGACAUAUUCCUGAUACAGCACGUCCUACUUGAUUAUGCAGAGAGUGGUAAUUUGACCCAUGGUUUAGACGAUGAGGAUUUUGUUCCAAAAUAAGCAUAAGAGAUCCCUAGAUCUGGGUAGACAGGAAGUUAGAGUAGAGGUUGGGAAGGAUCUCUCAAUGGAGUUUUAUGUAGACCAAAAUGGAGUCUCUAACUACAUGACAGUCUAGGACUCUGAGCCAUUAUGGCAUAUAUCGGUGCAGGUUCCCAUAUUGAUCGUGGACACAGGUCAUAGCUCAUUUGGAGAGAGGGCUAUAUGAAUCCACUCGCCCAGUAUGGAAGAAGGUAGAGUAGAGUGAAGAUGAGAGUUUUUGAUUGUAAUCAGGAGAGAGGGAUGAAUUGCAUAAAGAUACGCUUAACCCUUUAAACAGAAAUGAAGGAGAAUCUAGGGUUGUAGUAUGGAUAUGACCAGGUCUUGGUCGACACCCUAGUACGGUUCUGGGUAGAGGAGUUUGGGCCGGUAUGGUAAAGCUGUUCACGAAAGCAGGAAUGCCAGAUAAUGACAGUUGUAUUGAUUUGCACUAUUUAAAUCCCCAGGUUCCUCCCUUUACAGUGACCGUAGGAGAUUAUUACCGUUUGGCCCGGUACAGUACUCUUGGGAAAUUAUGUCAGGGCGAGGUUUUACCAACAGAUUGGACAGGAUUAUGCUCCAUUGUAAUGCCUUUGACACUCAUUCAACACCAAGACAUGAAGUAUAGCCAAAUGGGAGAAAAGAGCUAUUCCAUCCGGGUCUCUUAUUGACUAAGUACACAUUGAUAACAUUGGGGUUCCAAGGGGGGUGCCAGAUGAGUCAAAGCAAGAAAUCAGAUCCUAGCAGGGUUAGAGUUAAGCAUUUCCGUGGGGUCUACUCUCAUAAGAACGUGGACUGGAUUAAUUAUAUUUAUGAUAAUCAACAGCGCUUUAACAAGUAUACCAGAGAUGCUAUUAAAGGUUUUGUAGAACAGACUGAAGUAACCAGCUGGAUGGCUUGGCAGAAUAGAAUUGCAUUAGAUAUGUUAAUGGCUGAAAAGGGAGAAGUAUGCGUGAUUAUCAGGACCAUGUUUGUGCUUACAUCCCAAAUAACACAGCUCCGGACGAAUCAGUGCCCGAAGCCUCAGCUGGUUUGACCACCCUGGCUCACGGGUUGGCAGAAACUCUGGGGUGGAUACUUCUCUGACUGAUUGGGUUUUGAUAGUACGUUUGGAAAAUGGAAAAAUGUUAUGAUCACUGUGUUAUGGGCUACAUUCACCUGUGUGACUGUUUUAGUUUUAGGGGGCUGUUGUCUAAUUCCCUGUGUAUGAGGCCUUGUUUCCAGAACUCUGGAGAAAAUGAUGACUCAGCAGAUGAUGAGAUAUGGGCCGAUUCCAGGUUCUGAACCGUGGAGGACUGAAUGUAUGACUACAGAACAAGUGGACGAAUCUGGAUCUUUUAUUUGUGGGGAAUUUAUAUUUGAUGAGACUAUUUUUGAGAUGAAGAGGAAUUAGAUUGUACUUUGUUUCAAUGAUUAGACUGUUUUUUAAUGAAGAUUGUAACGAAAAUCCUGAUAAGAAGAGUUAUGAUUCUGAUGUAGGUUUAAAAACAGUUGGAGUUAAGGUUAGAUUUGAUUAAUGAUGGGUGAAGAGUCUGAUAAACCUUCAUAAUAAGGUUAAUUAUAAGUAUUCGUAUGAUAAAUCUGAUAAACCUUUAUAAUAAGGUUAGUUAUAAGUUUGUUCAUAUUUUUGUUUUUUUAUGUUUGAUGAAAUUAUAUGUAGAUUUGAAUGUAUAAUAUUUAAUCAAAGGGAGGAUUGUUGGAGGAAAUUAUGGUUGAAAUGAUUAAUUAUGUAUACAUUUCAAUUAGAACCAUUUAUUCUAAUACUAUUAUGUUAUGGUAUGAAAUGUAUGGGUUCUUGGUUAAGCUGUUACUGAAAAUGUAAGUAAAACAAAUUAAUUGUCUGUACCUUGCGGGUUUAAGGGAGGGAGAAAAGUAUAUCUUUUAGACAGAUUGGAAUGUUUGUUUUAUGAGGGGAGUAGAAGAAGGUCUCCAGACCUGAAGACACUGCGCUAUUGUGGGGAUCGGAGAGAGUGUGUGAAACUGAUGAUGUCAUUUUAUGUUCUCUCUUUAUAAUGUAAUGUUCUUUGUAUAUUGGGUCAGUACUCAUCAAGAAUAAAUGCUGAACUUGUUUUUAA
Oncorhynchus tshawytscha (Chinook salmon) is the source of this 4852-nucleotide long non-coding RNA. RefSeq lists it as uncharacterized. The record is from RefSeq and is a predicted model, not a curated record. Lineage: Eukaryota; Metazoa; Chordata; Actinopteri; Salmoniformes; Salmonidae. The transcript is spliced from 2 exons.